UAUGAACGCUGGCGGCGUGCCUAAUACAUGCAAGUCGAGCGAACGGACGAGAAGCUUGCUUCUCUGAUGUUAGCGGCGGACGGGUGAGUAACACGUGGAUAACCUACCUAUAAGACUGGGAUAACUUCGGGAAACCGGAGCUAAUACCGGAUAAUAUUUUGAACCGCAUGGUUCAAAAGUAAAAGACGGUCUUGCUGUCACUUAUAGAUGGAUCCGCGCUGCAUUAGCUAGUUGGUAAGGUAACGGCUUACCAAGGCAACGAUGCAUAGCCGACCUGAGAGGGUGAUCGGCCACACUGGAACUGAGACACGGUCCAGACUCCUACGGGAGGCAGCAGUAGGGAAUCUUCCGCAAUGGGCGAAAGCCUGACGGAGCAACGCCGCGUGAGUGAUGAAGGUCUUCGGAUCGUAAAACUCUGUUAUUAGGGAAGAACAUAUGUGUAAGUAACUGUGCACAUCUUGACGGUACCUAAUCAGAAAGCCACGGCGAACUACGU
RNAcentral lists this ribosomal RNA (496 nucleotides) under uncultured bacterium. RNAcentral's name for it is "partial 16S ribosomal RNA". It matches the Rfam family "Bacterial small subunit ribosomal RNA", at positions 29 to 506 of the family's 1533-position model. The record is from RNAcentral.